GUAGAAGAAGAAAUCCAGACUCUGUCUCAAGUGUUAGCAGCAAAAGAGAAGCAUCUAGCAGAGAUCAAGCGGAAACUUGGAAUCAAUUCUCUACAGGAACUAAAACAGAACAUUGCCAAAGGGUGGCAAGACGUGACAGCAACAUCUGCUUACAAGAAGACAUCUGAAACCUUAUCCCAGGCUGGACAGAAGGCCUCAGCUGCUUUUUCGUCUGUUGGCUCAGUCAUCACCAAAAAGCUGGAAGAUGUAAAAAACUCCCCAACUUUUAAAUCAUUUGAAGAAAAGGUCGAAAACUUAAAGUCUAAAGUAGGGGGAACCAAGCCUGCUGGUGGUG
RNAcentral lists this small RNA (334 nucleotides) under Pan troglodytes (chimpanzee). Its description in RNAcentral is "retained intron". The record is from RNAcentral. Lineage: Eukaryota; Metazoa; Chordata; Mammalia; Primates; Hominidae.